RNAcentral lists this ribosomal RNA (493 nucleotides) under uncultured bacterium. RNAcentral describes it as "partial 16S ribosomal RNA". It matches the Rfam family "Bacterial small subunit ribosomal RNA", at positions 29 to 523 of the family's 1533-position model. The record is from RNAcentral.
AUUGAACGCUGGCGGCAUGCUUUACACAUGCAAGUCGAACGGUAACAGGUUAAGCUGACGAGUGGCGAACGGGUGAGUAAUGCAUCGGAACGUGCCCGAUCGUGGGGGAUAACGCAGCGAAAGCUGCGCUAAUACCGCAUACGAUCUGAGGAUGAAAGCGGGGGACCGUAAGGCCUCGCGCGAUCGGAGCGGCCGAUGUCAGAUUAGGUAGUUGGUGGGGUAAAGGCUCACCAAGCCGACGAUCUGUAGCUGGUCUGAGAGGGCGACCAGCCACACUGGGACUGAGACACGGCCCAGACUCCUACGGGAGGCAGCAGUGGGGAAUUUUGGACAAUGGGCGAAAGCCUGAUCCAGCAAUGCCGCGUGCAGGAAGAAGGCCUUCGGGUUGUAAACUGCUUUUGUACGGAGCGAAAAGGCUCUCUCUAAUACGGGGGGCUCAUGACGGUACCGUAAGAAUAAGCACCGGCUAACUACGUGCCAGCCGCCGCAGUAA